RNAcentral lists this ribosomal RNA (429 nucleotides) under uncultured prokaryote. RNAcentral describes it as "bacterial SSU rRNA". It matches the Rfam family "Bacterial small subunit ribosomal RNA", at positions 355 to 776 of the family's 1533-position model. The record is from RNAcentral.
UAGGGAAUCUUCGGCAAUGGGCGAAAGCCUGACCGAGCAACGCCGCGUGAAUGAUGAAGGCCUUCGGGUUGUAAAAUUCUGUUAUAAGGGAAGAAUGACUUUAGUAGGAAAUGGCUAAAGUGUGACGGUACCUUAUGAGAAAGCCACGGCUAACUACGUGCCAGCAGCCGCGGUAAUACGUAGGUGGCAAGCGUUGUCCGGAUUUAUUGGGCGUAAAGCGAGCGCAGGCGGUUCCUUAAGUCUGAUGUGAAAGCCCACGGCUUAACCGUGGAAGGUCAUUGGAAACUGGGGAACUUGAGUGCAGAAGAGGAGAGUGGAAUUCCAUGUGUAGCGGUGAAAUGCGUAGAUAUAUGGAGGAACACCAGUGGCGAAGGCGACUCUCUGGUCUGUAACUGACGCUGAGGCUCGAAAGCGUGGGGAGCAAACAGG